RNAcentral lists this long non-coding RNA (295 nucleotides) under Malus domestica (apple). RNAcentral's name for it is "long non-coding RNA (MDOM_LNC004408)". The record is from RNAcentral. Lineage: Eukaryota; Viridiplantae; Streptophyta; Magnoliopsida; Rosales; Rosaceae.
GGCCUUGUGUGGUUUUAGAGAGAGAGAUGUUUUCUUCCUUUUGUGAAAAACAACACACAAAACCCUAAUGAAUUUUUCACUAUAAAGUUCCUUUUAUAAUACAAAGAAACAAGUCAACAACUUGACUUCCUCUCUCUCUCCCUUUCCCUUUAUUUGGCCUGCCCCCUUUAGUGUUGUUUGGGCUUUGGGCUUUUAUUAUUUCAAGUCAUCCUAUACUUAAAUAAAAGCCCAAUGGGUUUGGGCUUAAUGGGCCCAUAUUAACCCGAACUUUUCUUUAAGCCCAAAACGAUCUUUU